CGCAAACUUUUUUAUCGAUAAGAACUCUCAAAAAAAAUUACGCUGUUAUCCCUAAGGUAAUUUAAUCUUAUAAUCAUAAACUAUGGAUCACUUAAUCAUAUAUCAAUGUUAUUAUUUAAAAAAAAUUUAUUUAAUUUUUUGAUUGCCCCAACCAAAUAUAAUUUAAUAUAUUUAAAUUUAAAAUUCUUUAACUUUCAAAAAUAUCAAAUUAUAUAAAACUCUAUAGGGUCUUCUCGUCUUUUAAGUUUAUUUAAGCUUUUUUACUUAAAAAUAAAAUUCUAAUUUAAAUUAAAUUGAGACAGUCUUUUUCUCGUGAGACCUUUCAUACCAGUUCCCAAUUAAAAAACUAAUUAUUAUGCUACCUUUGCACGGUCAAAGUACCGCAGCCAUUUAAAAACAAAUUAUUCAUAGGGCAGGCCAGACUUUAAAUUAUAAUCAAAAAGACAU
RNAcentral lists this ribosomal RNA (447 nucleotides) under Eucranium arachnoides. Its description in RNAcentral is "partial 16S ribosomal RNA". Lineage: Eukaryota; Metazoa; Arthropoda; Insecta; Coleoptera; Scarabaeidae. The record is from RNAcentral.